This is a non-coding RNA of Prunus avium (sweet cherry), 2203 nucleotides long. The record is from RefSeq and is a predicted model, not a curated record. NCBI's taxonomy places the organism in Eukaryota, Viridiplantae, Streptophyta, Magnoliopsida, Rosales, Rosaceae.
CAACUCAUUGUCACCUUCAAGUUUAGCCAAGUCCUCUUCCUUCAUGUUAAUGUAUGCUUCUAUUCCACCACCAGACUUGGCGUCCAUGAAAACAACCAAGUUAUUUCAAGGGGAGAUACCACAAAAUACCAUCAAGGCACUUCUCCAAACACCAUCCUUGUCUGGACAUUUGGGAAUACUAUCUAUAAAUACAUACUUAUUGGCCUUACGAUUUUUUCUCACUUUUUCUUCUCUCUCAGUAUCACACUCUCUCUCUCUCUCUCUCUCUCUCUAUACCAAAAUCUGGGCAGAUUUGUCCCUUCAGUCAUGAAUGGAAGCUAUCAGAAAGCAAGCGACCAGGCUUCGCGAACGGGUCGCUAGGCAACAACAGGUGCUUUCAUACCAAUCCUAAUUCCACCAGAUCCAAUUUCAUUUAAUCGCUUUCAGUAUCCGCACUCUAUUCUGAUUCCGUAUUUGAUAUUUCUUAUUUUGACCAAUUUCCCCUUGAUUUAGCUCAACUUUCUUUUCCCUUGUCCUGUUUAUUUUCUUGGUGAAAUUUGCAAUCUUGUUCUGCCUAUAAUGCUUUAUUUUCGUUGGGUUUGUGAUUUUCAAUUUGUUUCACACUGUAUGAUCCAACUCAAUGCAUUUGCUUUCCAAAGUCAUAAACUUUUUUAUGAAUUUUGUUGAUAUUUGAUGUGCAACGCAAGAGAGGCGAUAUUAAUUGCAUUCUUGCGCGUUAAUUGGUAAAUUGCUCGGAGAACAUUCUUGGAAUCUGUUUAUGGAAGAUUGCAAAAAGAAUACAUGUGUAGAAUAAAGAAAUAUAUUUGUUGGUCCAUAAUGCCUUAAAAAAUUAGAGCCUACAGUGUGUGUUAUGGAUACAGGUCAGGCUUGUUCAUCCCAUGAAAAGUAAAUGUUGCUAUUAAGUUUUACAUAGAUAUGCUCCCUUAAAAGAAAUGGACAAUCAGUUAAAUUAAGGUAUGGUUUCACUCAAAAAAUUCAAUAGAAAUUAGCCAUUUGAGAAGUUUUGCCAACAAAUGUGUUAAGAGAUUUCAGUUUCUGCUGUAACUUUGUUCUCCAUGUCACAUUUUCUGUUCCUGUAGUCAUAUUCAUAUACAUGCCUUGAAAAGUAUAUGGUACAUCUUCAACUACAUCCCAUCAAGUUGAAGCUCCUAUUUAAAGAAUUUGAUGUUGUGGAUAUUUGGUUUACUCACCUGUUUUGGUUCAUAUUCUUUUGAAAUUGAAUUUUUAAAGAUCCUUAAAGGUUUGUUCCAUAAGCAAUGCUCAUUUGACAUGUCUACAAGAAGUUAGCAGUUGGUACCUUUAUGUUACAGAGUAAAACGAAAAUGCAGUUAGUUUGAUCAUCUCUGCCCAAUUUCUUAAAAGUGCUACGAGUUUCUUAUUUUUCUUAUAGAAAAUAAAAUGGCACUGGUUUCUUUUGCCAUGUCAUUCUGACAAUACUAAUUAUGUUGAAGCAGGGAGGUAUUGGUAGAGGUUAUAUGGUUUCAUAUUCUGUUGUAGUUUGGUGAACUUCUAUCCUUUUGGGCAUUCACUUGUUUGACAAUUUCUGCAGGUGCUGGUUGUUUUGUGUGACCUCCUUUGAUAACUCUUUCUAUUCCAAGAACAUUGCUUUGUCAAAAACAUUUUGCAAUGCGAUACAAGCAAAGUAAUUUAACAGCAGAGCUGGAGCUGCCAUGGCAGCCCUGUAAUAAUUUCCGAAAGUAUGAUGAGGCAGAGGUGGCUUGAACCUUGAACGAAGAUCCAUGAUAUAAACAACUGCGUACAACGUUUGAGGUCUUUCCCUAGGCCUUGACAAAACAAAGAUGUCCCAUAAAAAAGCGGACAAGGCCUCAACUUUUGAUGGCCGUUUUUGGGUUUUUGAGAUCUUGAUGCUCUGUUCAUAUUUUGAUCUCAAAGCCUCAACCUUUGACACAUCAAACACAAACUUCUUGGUUUUGAUCUCAUGCCUGUUGGUGAUAGGAACCCCUAAAUACCCAUCCAUAUUUCUUGGUGGGAAAAUUGAAGCUGCAGAAAAAUCUGGACCCACUAUAGAAUUUUUGUUCCCCUGUCCACAAUUAGAAGCAGCUGCCCAAUUGUUCACAAAUGUAAAACAUGAGCGGGCGUCUGCAAUUCUGUGUGAGAUGCAUAACCCAACAGCAAUUCCUCCACAUUCAAACACAUUGAGCUGGACACCAAGGGCUGUUUCUGUGACUUCAUCCAGCUUGAA